CCUUAAAGAACCUGCCUUUGCAGUGCUCACACAGAUUGUUUGAUAAAUGAAUAAUUUCAAAAUGUACUGUUAAGUGCAUUGUGAAAUUUUGCUCUUUAAAAAUCUGGAUCAAGCUGAAAAUUGAAACGACACACAUGUUAUGUGUGUUCGAGUCUCUCAAAUUUUCGCAAUCAGAAGUGAAACAUCUUCGGGUUGUGA
This 198-nucleotide unclassified non-coding RNA is filed under the name Klebsiella pneumoniae. RNAcentral's name for it is "partial 16S-23S ribosomal RNA intergenic spacer". The stretch from base 94 to 191 matches the Rfam family "Salmonella enterica Typhi npcRNA 44". Lineage: Bacteria; Pseudomonadati; Pseudomonadota; Gammaproteobacteria; Enterobacterales; Enterobacteriaceae. The record is from RNAcentral.